UGGGGAAUAUUGCACAAUGGGCGCAAGCCUGAUGCAGCCAUGCCGCGUGUGUGAAGAAGGCCUUCGGGUUGUAAAGCACUUUCAGCGAGGAGGAAGGUGGUGAACUUAAUACGUUCAUCAAUUGACGUUACUCGCAGAAGAAGCACCGGCUAACUCCGUGCCAGCAGCCGCGGUAAUACGGAGGGUGCAAGCGUUAAUCGGAAUUACUGGGCGUAAAGCGCACGCAGGCGGUUUGUUAAGUCAGAUGUGAAAUCCCCGGGCUCAACCUGGGAACUGCAUUUGAAACUGGCAAGCUAGAGUCUCGUAGAGGGGGGCUAGAAUUCCAGGUGUAGCGGUGAAAUGCGUAGAGAUCUGGAGGAAUACCGGUGGCGAAGGCGGCCCCCCUGGACGAAGACUGACGCUCAGGUGCGAAAGCGUGGGGCAGCAAACAGGAUUAGAUACCCUGGUAGUCCAGCGCUGUAAACGAUGUCGAUUUGGAGGUUGUGCCCUUGAGGCGUGGCUUCCGGAGCUAACGCGUUAAAUCGACCGCC
Molecule: ribosomal RNA, 530 nt
Filed under: uncultured bacterium
Lineage: Bacteria
Description: partial 16S ribosomal RNA
Rfam family: Bacterial small subunit ribosomal RNA
Source: RNAcentral